RNAcentral lists this ribosomal RNA (1343 nucleotides) under uncultured bacterium. RNAcentral's name for it is "16S ribosomal RNA". It matches the Rfam family "Bacterial small subunit ribosomal RNA", at positions 28 to 1378 of the family's 1533-position model. The record is from RNAcentral.
GACGAACGCUUGCGGCGUGCUUAACACAUGCAAGUCGAACGGAAAGGCCCUGCUUUUGUGGGGUGCUCGAGUGGCGAACGGGUGAGUAACACGUGAGUAACCUGCCCUUGACUUUGGGAUAACUUCAGGAAACUGGGGCUAAUACCGGAUAGGAGCUCCUGCUGCAUGGUGGGGGUUGGAAAGUUUCGGCGGUUGGGGAUGGACUCGCGGCUUAUCAGCUUGUUGGUGGGGUAGUGGCUUACCAAGGCUUUGACGGGUAGCCGGCCUGAGAGGGUGACCGGCCACAUUGGGACUGAGAUACGGCCCAGACUCCUACGGGAGGCAGCAGUGGGGAAUAUUGCACAAUGGGCGGAAGCCUGAUGCAGCAACGCCGCGUGCGGGAUGACGGCCUUCGGGUUGUAAACCGCUUUCGCCUGUGACGAAGCGUGAGUGACGGUAAUGGGUAAAGAAGCACCGGCUAACUACGUGCCAGCAGCCGCGGUGAUACGUAGGGUGCGAGCGUUGUCCGGAUUUAUUGGGCGUAAAGGGCUCGUAGGUGGUUGAUCGCGUCGGAAGUGUAAUCUUGGGGCUUAACCCUGAGCGUGCUUUCGAUACGGGUUGACUUGAGGAAGGUAGGGGAGAAUGGAAUUCCUGGUGGAGCGGUGGAAUGCGCAGAUAUCAGGAGGAACACCAGUGGCGAAGGCGGUUCUCUGGGCCUUUCCUGACGCUGAGGAGCGAAAGCGUGGGGAGCGAACAGGCUUAGAUACCCUGGUAGUCCACGCUGUAAACGGUGGGUACUAGGUGUGGGGUCCAUUCCACGGGUUCCGUGCCGUAGCUAACGCUUUAAGUACCCCGCCUGGGGAGUACGGCCGCAAGGCUAAAACUCAAAGGAAUUGACGGGGCCCCGCACAAGCGGCGGAGCAUGCGGAUUAAUUCGAUGCAACGCGUAGAACCUUACCCGGGUUUGACAUGGAUCGGGAGUGCUCAGAGAUGGGUGUGCCUCUUUUGGGGUCGGUUCACAGGUGGUGCAUGCCUGUCGUCAGCUCGUGUCGUGAGAUGUUGGGUUAAGUCCCGCAACGAGCGCAACCCUUGUUCACUGUUGCCAGCACGUUAUGGUGGGGACUCAGUGGAGACCGCCGGGGUCAACUCGGAGGAAGGUGGGGAUGACGUCAAGUCAUCAUGCCCCUUAUGUCCAGGGCUUCACGCAUGCUACAAUGGCUGGUACAGAGAGUGGCGAGCCUGUGAGGGUGAGCGAAUCUCGGAAAGCCGGUCUCAGUUCGGAUUGGGGUCUGCAACUCGACCUCAUGAAGUCGGAGUCGCUAGUAAUCGCAGAUCAGCAACGCUGCGGUGAAUACGUUCCCGGG